Molecule: long non-coding RNA, 631 nt
Filed under: Musa acuminata (dwarf banana)
Lineage: Eukaryota; Viridiplantae; Streptophyta; Magnoliopsida; Zingiberales; Musaceae
Description: long non-coding RNA (MACU_LNC000715)
Source: RNAcentral
CGGCAAUAAAGCAGAUGCAGAUGUUUAAUAUUGCAUUCCUUCUGCACGAGGGAGACAAAAAUGCUAUAAAUGUUUGUUUAAUUUUAGAAUUUAAUAUAAAAAUCGUUUUUUUAAUGUCGAAACAGAUGAAGUCGCAGUAAUUACAGAUUUUUAGGAACUAGAUGUGUAUCUGUAAAGUGUAGAAUGAGGUUGGAGACGACAUUGGAAACCCUUGCAGGCUCUUGAAACCGAGGGAAUCAUGGCAGGAUUCGGGCCGCUGCAGGAAGGAAACAGAGGUGCAGGUCAUCAGCAGCAGAAACACCAUCUCUUCUUAAUCAGACCAGCAACACCAGCAUUAAAUUUGCCUCCCUACCGAGUUGGAGAUAAGAGCACAAGUGCAGAGAGAUCCUCUGCAUGAGCUCACACGGUCACAGUGUCACGCUCACCCACCUUCAGCUCAGCCGUCUGCGAGAAUGUAGGUGGCGAUGGCGAAGGGAGGAAUCGGCUUUUUACUGAAGGGAUCCUCCUCCCUCCUCUUUUGGCAAUCAUCCAGCUACAGUGUUGUGCUACCCCUCCUCCUGCCACUAGUUCGCUUGCCACCACCCCCCAUGUAGCUUCUGCCCCCCCUACCCGACGCAGUUAAUGGCCACAG